RNAcentral lists this transfer RNA (89 nucleotides) under Bacteroidales bacterium. RNAcentral describes it as "tRNA-Ser". It matches the Rfam family "tRNA". From Rfam's summary of the family: Transfer RNA (tRNA) molecules are approximately 80 nucleotides in length. Their secondary structure includes four short double-helical elements and three loops (D, anti-codon, and T loops). Lineage: Bacteria; Pseudomonadati; Bacteroidota; Bacteroidia; Bacteroidales. The record is from RNAcentral.
GGAGAGGUGGGUGAGUGGCUGAAACCACCGGUUUGCUAAACCGACGUACGCUUCACGGCGUACCACGAGUUCUAAUCUCGUCCUCUCCG